RNAcentral lists this ribosomal RNA (508 nucleotides) under uncultured glomeraceous AM fungus. RNAcentral's name for it is "SSU rRNA". It matches the Rfam family "Eukaryotic small subunit ribosomal RNA", at positions 569 to 1078 of the family's 1831-position model. The record is from RNAcentral. Lineage: Eukaryota; Fungi; Glomeromycota; Glomeromycetes; Glomerales; Glomeraceae.
AGCAGCCGCGGUAAUUCCAGCUCCAACAGCGUAUAUUAAAGUUGUUGCAGUUAAAAAGCUCGUAGUUGAAUUUCGGGGUUAGUAGGUUGGUCAUGCCUCUGGUAUGUACUGGUCUCACUGAUUCCUCCUUCCUGAUGAACCUUAAUGCCAUUAAUUUGGUGUUUUGGGGAAUUUGGACUGCUACUUUGAAAAAAUUAGAGUGUUUAAAGCAAGCUAACGCUUGAAUACAUUAGCAUGGAAUAAUGAAAUAGGACGUUCGAUCCUAUUUUGUUGGUUUCUAGGAUUGACGUAAUGAUUAAUAGGGAUAGUUGGGGGCAUUAGUAUUCAAUUGUCAGAGGUGAAAUUCUUGGAUUUAUUGAAGACUAACUACUGCGAAAGCAUUUGCCAAGGAUGUUUUCAUUAAUCAAGAACGAAAGUUAGGGGAUCGAAGACGAUCAGAUACCGUCGUAGUCUUAACCAUAAACUAUGCCGACUAGGGAUCGGAUGAUGUUAAUUUUUUAAUGACUCA